Long non-coding RNA from Xenopus laevis (African clawed frog), 805 nucleotides. RefSeq lists it as uncharacterized. NCBI's taxonomy places the organism in Eukaryota, Metazoa, Chordata, Amphibia, Anura, Pipidae. The transcript has 2 exons. The record is from RefSeq and is a predicted model, not a curated record.
CAGUAUAAACCUAUCUAAUAAAUUCACUUUUAGGAAUGUUCACAAUGCACACUAGUAUUUUUCUAAAGAUGAGUAUUACAUUGAGACAGGGAGACAUGUUGUGGAUGAAGUUCUGAUUGUCUCUGUAGACCAAUAAAUGCAGCAGAUAAAUCAAACAGAAAGAGGGCUGUUAAAUAAACAGAAGCAACAGCAUCUCAAAACUUUGAAAGUUUUAUUAUCGAUUUCAGCUCUAUACAGAAAUAUAAUAGCAAAGAGUAUACAAAUGUCCCAAUAGAAGCAAAAUAUCUUUUGUUUAAUAUUUAACACAUUAUUACAAGAAUGCUAAAAACAAUAACAUUUCUGUCCUAACAGAACACACUGAGUAGCUGGUAUAAAAGCCAUCGGAGCCCCUGUAACAAAGCCGCGCACUGCACAACUCAGACAAAACAGGGAUGGAAAGAGGCUGGGAUACUGGUAUUGUACUGGUAUUGUACAGUCCUGCUGGGGAUUCCUUCAUACAAAGUCUAGAGCUCUGUCGUCCCUUGUUUGUACAGUAUGUUUCUGGCUGGGGAUAAAUAUGAAGCCUCACUAUAUGACUUUGGUGAUGGAGCAAGCAAAUGCCAGUCAGGUAGUCUAGGCCUCGAAGCAAAUGCCAGUCAGGUAGUCAAGGCUCAAAGCAAAUGCCGGUCAGAUAGUCUAGGCUCGAAGCAAAUGCCGGUCAGAUAGUCUAGGCUCGAAGCAAAUGCCGGUCAGGUAGUCUAGGCCUCGAAGCAAAUGCCGGUCAGGUAGUCAAGGCUCGAAGCAAAUGCCGGUCAGGUAGUCUAGG